CCUACGGGGGGCAGCAGUGGGGAAUAUUGGACAAUGGGGGGAACCCUGAUCCAGCCAUGCCGCGUGUGUGAAGAAGGCCCUCGGGUUGUAAAGCACUUUCAGUGAGGAAGAACGCCUGGUGGUUAAUACCCAUCAGGAAAGACAUCACUCACAGAAGAAGCACCGGCUAACUCCGUGCCAGCAGCCGCGGUAAUACGGAGGGUGCGAGCGUUAAUCGGAAUUACUGGGCGUAAAGCGCGCGUAGGUGGCGUGAUAAGCCGGUUGUGAAAGCCCCGGGCUCAACCUGGGAACGGCAUCCGGAACUGUCAAGCUAGAGUGCAGGAGAGGAAGGUAGAAUUCCCGGUGUAGCGGUGAAAUGCGUAGAGAUCGGGAGGAAUACCAGUGGCGAAGGCGGCCUUCUGGACUGACACUGACACUGAGGUGCGAAAGCGUGGGUAGAAAACAGGAUUAGAUACCCUAGUAGUC
Molecule: ribosomal RNA, 465 nt
Filed under: Vreelandella stevensii
Lineage: Bacteria; Pseudomonadati; Pseudomonadota; Gammaproteobacteria; Oceanospirillales; Halomonadaceae
Description: partial 16S ribosomal RNA
Rfam family: Bacterial small subunit ribosomal RNA
Source: RNAcentral